This 390-nucleotide ribosomal RNA is filed under the name Yarrowia lipolytica. RNAcentral describes it as "partial 28S ribosomal RNA". It matches the Rfam family "Eukaryotic large subunit ribosomal RNA", at positions 101 to 507 of the family's 3401-position model. The record is from RNAcentral. Lineage: Eukaryota; Fungi; Ascomycota; Dipodascomycetes; Dipodascales.
GCAAAAGCUCAAAUUUGAAACCUUCGGGAUUGUAAUUUGAAGAUUAAGGCAUUGGAGAAAGCUAACCCAAGUUGCUUGGAAUAGUACGUCAUAGAGGGUGACAACCCCGUCUGGCUAACCGUUCUCCAUGUAUUGCCUUAUCAAAGAGUCGAGUUGUUUGGGAAUGCAGCUCAAAGUGGGUGGUAAACUCCAUCUAAAGCUAAAUACUGGUGAGAGACCGAUAGCGAACAAGUACUGUGAAGGAAAGGUGAAAAGAACUUUGAAAAGAGAGUGAAAUAGUAUGUGAAAUUGUUGAUAGGGAAGGAAAUGAGUGGAGAGUGGUUGAGGUUUCAGCUUACCUUUGGGUAGGUGUAUUGCCAACGCCGAGUCAUUGACAGCGAGACGGCGGUU